CCCCCCGUAGCUCAGUGGAUAGAGCAGGAGCCUUCUAAUCUCUUGGUCGGGUGUUCGAAUCACCCCGGGGGGG
This 73-nucleotide transfer RNA is filed under the name Microbacterium caowuchunii. Its description in RNAcentral is "Microbacterium sp. ST-M6 tRNA-Arg". It matches the Rfam family "tRNA". Rfam says of the family: Transfer RNA (tRNA) molecules are approximately 80 nucleotides in length. Their secondary structure includes four short double-helical elements and three loops (D, anti-codon, and T loops). Lineage: Bacteria; Bacillati; Actinomycetota; Actinomycetes; Micrococcales; Microbacteriaceae. The record is from RNAcentral.